This 372-nucleotide ribosomal RNA is filed under the name uncultured bacterium. RNAcentral's name for it is "bacterial SSU rRNA". It matches the Rfam family "Bacterial small subunit ribosomal RNA", at positions 29 to 418 of the family's 1533-position model. The record is from RNAcentral.
AAUGAACGUUGGCGGCGUGGAUUAGGCAUGCAAGUCGAGCGAGAAGUUCCUUCGGGAACGGACAGCGGCGAAAGGGAGAGGAAUACGUAGAAAUCUACCCCUGAGACCGGGAUAGCGUCGGGAAACUGGCAGUAAUACCGGAUAACGUCUUAGGACCAAAGGUGUGAUUCCACUUGGGGAUGAGUCUACGCCCUAUUAGCUAGUUGGUGGGGUAAUGGCCUACCAAGGCAAUGAUGGGUAGCGGGUGUGAGAGCAUGACCCGCCUCACUGGGACUGAGAACUGCCCAGACACCUACGGGUGGCUGCAGUCGAGAAUCUUUGUCAAUGGACGAAAGUCUGAACAAGCGACGCCGCGUGCGGGAUGAAGGCCUU